This 464-nucleotide ribosomal RNA is filed under the name uncultured bacterium. RNAcentral describes it as "partial 16S ribosomal RNA". It matches the Rfam family "Bacterial small subunit ribosomal RNA", at positions 338 to 795 of the family's 1533-position model. The record is from RNAcentral.
CCUACGGGAGGCAGCAGUAGGGAAUUUUCGUCAAUGGGCGCAAGCCUGAACGAGCAAUGCCGCGUGAACGAGGAAGGUCUUCGGAUCGUAAAGUUCUGUUGAUGGGGAAAAAGAGCGGAGAGAGGAAAUGGUCUCCGAUUGAUAUUACCCUUCGAGGAAGUCACGGCUAACUCCGUGCCAGCAGCUGCGGUAAUACGUGGGUGGCGAGCGGUAGCCGGAAUGAUUGGGCGAAAGGGUUGCGGAGGCGGCCGGCUAAGUCUGGGGUAAAAGGUACCGGCUCAACCGGUACAGGCUCUGGAAACUGGCGGGCUAGAGAGCAGGAGAGGGAGGUGGAACUCCAUGUGUAGCGGUAAAAUGCGUAGAUAUAUGGAAGAACACCAGUGGCGAAGGCGGCCGCCUGGCCUGUUAUUGACGCUGAGGCACGAAAGCGUGGGGAGCAAAUAGGAUUAGAUACCCUAGUAGUC